RNAcentral lists this long non-coding RNA (616 nucleotides) under Durio zibethinus. RNAcentral's name for it is "long non-coding RNA (DZIB_LNC001009)". Lineage: Eukaryota; Viridiplantae; Streptophyta; Magnoliopsida; Malvales; Malvaceae. The record is from RNAcentral.
UUUUUUUUUAUGUAUUUUUUUAUUCUUGUUUGGUUGCGUAGACAGUCUCGUGGUUUUGGGAUUGGGUUAUGGAAAUUUUUUAAAGUUUAGGAUGGUGGUGGUUUUAGGUUUGUUAAAUUCCAGCUAGUAGGGGCUGUGGAUUUUGGUGAUGGAAGUGAUCACAAGUUACAGAAAGUAGGCUGUUGAUGGUCUUAGUGAAUUUUUGGUAGUGUGUUCAUGAUGGUCAGGGGGUGGAUGCCGAAUGGUGUCGUGAAUGUUUAUGGUGGUGGUGUUUUUGGCAUUGGUUUUGAAAGAGACUUAUGGUCUUGGUGGUUGUCGAGGGCUGGGUUCUUCAGUUAUGCUGAAUAUGGGUUGAAAGUAGGAAAGGUGGUGUUCGGUGGUUUACAUGGGGAUGGUAGUGGGUUGGAGUAUGUAAAGGCGGUAGUGUUGGUUCUGGUAUGAAAGAAAGAGAGUCAAACUUAUGGUUGUAAGUUGAGAGAAGGGUCCGCAAUUGGUGGCCUGGUGAUUUUGUGAAUUGGCAGUGUUGUUUUUGGGUUACGAUGGAUAUUUGGGUGUUCUUGGUCUGUGGUGAGUCUCGGUUGGAGGUUGUUGAAGUUAAGGAAUUUGAUUUUUUUUU